This 497-nucleotide ribosomal RNA is filed under the name uncultured bacterium. Its description in RNAcentral is "partial 16S ribosomal RNA". It matches the Rfam family "Bacterial small subunit ribosomal RNA", at positions 28 to 507 of the family's 1533-position model. The record is from RNAcentral.
GACGAACGCUGGCGGCGUGCCUAAUACAUGCAAGUUGAGCGCUGAAGGUUGGUACUUGUACCAACUGGAUGAGCAGCGAACGGGUGAGUAACGCGUGGGGAAUCUGCCUUUGAGCGGGGGACAACAUUUGGAAACGAAUGCUAAUACCGCAUAAAAACUUUAAACACAAGUUUUAAGUUUGAAAGAUGCAAUUGCAUCACUCAAAGAUGAUCCCGCGUUGUAUUAGCUAGUUGGUGAGGUAAAGGCUCACCAAGGCGAUGAUACAUAGCCGACCUGAGAGGGUGAUCGGCCACAUUGGGACUGAGACACGGCCCAAACUCCUACUGGAGGCAGCAGUAGGGAAUCUUCGGCAAUGGACGAAAGUCUGACCGAGCAACGCCGCGUGAGUGAAGAAGGGUUUCGGAUCGUAAAACUCUGUUGGUAGAGAAGAACGUUGGUGAGAGUGGAAAGCUCAUCAAGUGACGGUAACUACCCAGAAAGGGACGGCUAACUACGUG